This 605-nucleotide ribosomal RNA is filed under the name Anthracocystis elionuri. RNAcentral describes it as "LSU rRNA". It matches the Rfam family "Eukaryotic large subunit ribosomal RNA", at positions 84 to 664 of the family's 3401-position model. Lineage: Eukaryota; Fungi; Basidiomycota; Ustilaginomycetes; Ustilaginales; Ustilaginaceae. The record is from RNAcentral.
UAACGGCGAGUGAAGAGGGAAGAGCCCAAGAUUGAAAGCUGCGCGUCUUCGGCGUCCGCAUUGUAAUCUCAAGAAGUGUUUUCCGCUUCGGACCAUGCCUAAGUCCCUUGGAAAAGGGCAUCAUAGAGGGUGAUAAUCCCGUACAUGGCAUGGAGCGCCCGAGGCUUUGUGAUACGCUUUCUAAGAGUCGAGUUGUUUGGGAAUGCAGCUCAAAAUGGGUGGUAAAUGCCAUCUAAGGCUAAAUAUUGGGGAGAGACCGAUAGCGAACAAGUACAGUGAUGGAAAGAUGAAAAGAACUUUGAAAAGAGAGUUAAACAGUACGUGAAAUUGCCAAAAGGGAAGGGUAGGAGGUCAGAGAUGCGUCUUGGGAUUCAGCCUUGCUUUUGCUUGGUGUUUUUCCCAAGUUGCAGGCCAACGUCGGUUUUGGGCACUGGAGAAGGGUGGAAGGAACGUGGCACCUCUCGGGGUGUGUUAUAGCCUUCUACUGGAUACAGCGACCGAGACCGAGGACAGCAGCGUACUCGCAAGAGCGGGCCUUCGGGCACCUUUACGCUUAGGGCGUUGGCAUAAUGGCCCUCUACCACCCGUCUUGAACCACGGGACCA